Molecule: RNA transcript, 2879 nt
Organism: Pyrus x bretschneideri (Chinese white pear)
Lineage: Eukaryota; Viridiplantae; Streptophyta; Magnoliopsida; Rosales; Rosaceae
Exons: 14
Source: RefSeq, a predicted model, not a curated record
ACACUCGCCUACUUGCUUGGUAUAAAAUUGUCAAUUAUUCAGCGCCUUUGACUCCGACUCUGGGGGUCACUUCGAAAAGUCUCUUUCUUCCUUCGCUUUCAUUAGCGAUCAUUGCACUCUUGGAUGGCACCCUCUAAGCUUUUACUCUUCUCCGUAUUCUUAGCCCUAUCAUUCACCGGAAUUACGGCAUACCCACCCCCUCCAGACGACGGCGCUUCUGAUUUUGCUCAGGAGGUUGCAGAUUCGUCUCUGGCACUCCAACUUCAGCAACUCAAGUCCAGAGUUUCACUUCUAGAAUCACGCAUUGAUGACAAAAACCGUGAGCUGAGAAAAAAGGAUGAAAGUAUUAAACUGAUGGAGAAGGUUAUUCAAGAGAAAUCAAAUAGCAUUGCUUUGUUACAAAGUGCUAUAGAGUCUGUACAGGGAAGAGAACCUUUAGAUGUUGUCGAGCUUGGAGAUAAACCACAUGUGCAGGCUGGUGGGCUUGAGAAGCAGGUUAAAAGACUUAGAGAGGACAUUACUGUGCAAAAUAAGAAAAGAGAUGAACUGGAAGCCCGAGCAAGUGUAGCUGAGCAGAAAAUUCCGGAACUGAGUAUAAAAUUAGAAAAUAUCAGAUAUCCCUUCAUUUGUGGAGUUCUGCGAUCAAGGUCCUACAUGGUGUAUACAACUAGACAAUCUCUUCGAAAAGUAAAUGAUGAACAGAAGACUGGAAUUCGGAAAACUGAACAUGAUCUUCAAGUUGCAGAGGAAGAAAUGGUGAAGGAGAAGUUUGGGAUUUCUUCAAUAUCUGAAGAUUUGACUGAGGUCCAUGGGGGAUGGCUUCCACAUACAUUUGGAGUUCAUGUAGACUAUUUUCAGACGUACAUUUUGACUUACUGGAACGAGCUUGGAAGACCAGCCUUCAAUCUGGGAAUUGAAAAGGCCUUAAAAAUGAAAGCUCGUGGUGAGGGUUGGACUGAGAUCAUCAUCAAAAGAAUCAGAACAAACUGGAUGCCAAGGUUGAAGAAACAGUCUUUGGAAUUUAAAGCCUAUCUUGAACCAAACAUUCGAUUAGUCACUGCAAAAACUGUUGAUGUAUAUCGUUCAUCAAAGAGUUCUAUAGGACCACUUGUUUUCAAGGCACAAAAUAUGGCAGAUCCUUACAUUCAGGAAGCUAAGAAAUAUACCAAGCCUUACAUUGAUCCGGUUGCUAUGGUGGCAAAACCACAUUUAGAUAAAUUACAUAUUGCCUUGAAGCCGUAUACCGAAAUGGUACUCAAUGCAUAUAGAAAAGUCAUCACCACUACAACAUUUUUGCAUCAUGAGGUAUGAAUUUCCUACUUUAUAUUUAUAUAAAACAUUAGUACCGACGAAUUCAAUCAAUUGAUUUCGAAGCACGAGUGGAACAUGCUAUGCCUCUUGGACUUUUGAAAAAUGAUGCAGUUGGACAUUAUUUGACUCUGCUCACAGAACUGAAGGGAAAAAAAAAAAAAUAUUCUUGGGAGGUGAGAACUUUGGUGAACACAUUUUUUUGAAAGGAGUCAAACAAUGAAGAAGGAGCUGAUUUGGCUGAUUUGGAUCCCAAUUUUUGUCUAUCUGUUCAUUACAGAGAAAGUGUUGGAAUCUAAAGGUCUUCGCCUAAGUCGGUCAAAGACAGAGUAUAUGGAGUGCAAGUUCAGUGCAAACGGAGGCUCAAAUGAAUUAGGGGUGAGGAUUGGAGAUCAGGAAGUACCAAAGAGGGACUGCUUUCGCUAUCUAGUAUCUAUCUUGGAAAAGAACGGAGAGUUGGAUGGAGACCUCAACCAUAGAAUACAAGUUGGAUGGAUGAAGUGGAAGUGUGCAUCCGGCGUGUUGUGUGACCAUCGUAUGCUACUGAAGCUCAAGGGAAAAUUUUAUAGGAUGGCAAUAAGGCGGACAAUACUUUAUGGCAUGGAAUGUUGGGCGGUGAAGCAUCAACACGUACAUAAAAUGGGUGUAGCGGAGAUGAGAAUGCUUCCUUGGAUGUGUGGGCACACGAGAAAGGAUAAGAUUAGGAAUGAGGAUAUCCGAGGUAAAAUAGGAGUAGCUAAAACUGAAGGAAAGAAGAUAGAUAAUCGGUUAUGGUGGUUUGGACAUGUGAAACGAAGGCCUAUUGACGCUCCGGUUAGAAGAUGCGAUUACGGGAUAGAGGUUCAUGGCCGAAAGGGUAGAGGAAGACCAACAAGGACCUUGGAAGAGACUCUAAGAAAAGACUUAGAGUGCUUGGAUCUAACAGAAGACGUGAUACAAAACUGAGCGCAAUGGCGUUCUAGGAUUCAUAUAGCGGACCCCACUUAGUGGGAAAAGGCUUUGUUAUUGUUGUUGUUCAUUACAGAGGAAACAGAGUGGAACAGUGCACAGAUAAGCAAACAUAAAAAUCAAAAGGAGUGAAUGCUUGCGUGAUAUACAAUAUUAUUUCUUUUAGUACUCGCAUGUUUUUAAUUUAAACUUAUAGAUCUGGUUUAAAUAACAGUAAUUCCGGUGACUUGCGGAAAUGAGCAGGCAAGUAUUAGUCUCAGCACUUCUUUGUUUGUUUGGUUUCUUCCACAUUGUUGCGUGCUAAAACACACUGUUUGUUGAUGGCCAAAUAUAAGCUUUCAUGGGCUUUUCAUUUGUUUGAAAGCAGGGUACAUCAGAAUUGCUAAUUUUCUGUUAUGGGCAAAACCGCAAAAAAUGAAAGGGCAAUCAUAAAUUUGUAUAGGAAAGGAAAUCCAAAUUCACGAGGAGUUGCGGAAAUCUCAGUACUUAUAAGUCAAAGAAAUUCUAAAAAAUAAUGAGUUGACGCAACCUGUUGCAAGUAUGGAACUGGCAUGGUUUGCGGCCACUGCAUUACUUGCCCUGCCUGCAGUAUUUCUGUUUAAGUUCUAUUCGGCCAUUUUCGG